Molecule: ribosomal RNA, 230 nt
Filed under: Acinetobacter baumannii
Lineage: Bacteria; Pseudomonadati; Pseudomonadota; Gammaproteobacteria; Moraxellales; Moraxellaceae
Description: partial 23S ribosomal RNA
Rfam family: Bacterial large subunit ribosomal RNA
Source: RNAcentral
GGGGCGGUCUCCUCCCAAAGCGUAACGGAGGAGCACGAAGGUUAGCUAAUCCUGGUCGGACAUCAGGAGGUUAGUGCAAUGGCAUAAGCUAGCUUGACUGCGAGCGUGACGGCGCGAGCAGGUGCGAAAGCAGGUCAUAGUGAUCCGGUGGUUCUGAAUGGAAGGGCCAUCGCUCAACGGAUAAAAGGUACUCCGGGGAUAACAGGCUGAUACCGCCCAAGAGUUCAUAU